This 448-nucleotide ribosomal RNA is filed under the name uncultured Syntrophus sp. Its description in RNAcentral is "bacterial SSU rRNA". It matches the Rfam family "Bacterial small subunit ribosomal RNA", at positions 931 to 1378 of the family's 1533-position model. Lineage: Bacteria; Pseudomonadati; Thermodesulfobacteriota; Syntrophia; Syntrophales; Syntrophaceae. The record is from RNAcentral.
GGUAGAGCAUGUGGUUUAAUUCGAUGAUACGCGAAAACCUUAACCCGGGCUUGACAUGCAUCAGACAGGCGUAGAGAUACGCCCUCCGCGAGGCUGGUGCACAGGUGCUGCAUGGUUGUCGUCAGCUCGUGUCGUGAGAUGUUGGGUUAAGUCCCGCAACGAGCGCAACCCCUACCGUGUGUUACCAUCAUUAAGUUGGGGACUCGCACGGAACUGCCGGUGAUAAACCGGAGGAAGGUGGGGAUGACGUCAAGUCAGCAUGACCUUUAUAUCCAGGGCUACACACACGCUACAAUGGACAGUACAACAGGUUGCCAAGCCGCGAGGCGGAGCCAAUCCUCUAAAGCUGUCCUCAGUUCAGAUUGCAGGCUGCAACUCGCCUGCAUGAAGUUGGAGUUGCUAGUAACCGCAGGUCAGCUAUACUGCGGUGAAUACGUUCCCGGGGAUU